Molecule: ribosomal RNA, 497 nt
Filed under: uncultured bacterium
Lineage: Bacteria
Description: partial 16S ribosomal RNA
Rfam family: Bacterial small subunit ribosomal RNA
Source: RNAcentral
GAUGAACGCUGGCGGCGUGCCUAAUACAUGCAAGUCGAGCGAACAGACGAGGAGCUUGCUCCUCUGACGUUAGCGGCGGACGGGUGAGUAACACGUGGUUAACCUACUUAUAAGACUGGGAUAACUUCGGGAAACCGGAGCUAUUACCGGUUAUUAUUUUGAACCGCAUGGUUCAUUAUUGAAAGACGGUUUUGCUGUCACUUAUAGAUGGAUCCGCGCCGCAUUAGCUAGUUGGUAAGGUAACGGCUUACCAAGGCAACGAUGCGUAGCCGACCUGAGAGGGUGAUCGGCCACACUGGAACUGAGACACGGUCCAGACUCCUACGGGAGGCAGCAGUAGGGAAUCUUCCGCAAUGGGCGAAAGCCUGACGGAGCAACGCCGCGUGAGUGAUGAAGGUCUUCGGAUCGUAAAACUCUGUUAUUAGGGAAGAACAAAUGUGUAAGUAACUAUGCACGUCUUGACGGUACCUAAUCAGAAAGCCACGGCUAACUACGUG